RNAcentral lists this long non-coding RNA (590 nucleotides) under Homo sapiens (human). Its description in RNAcentral is "non-protein coding lnc-SFRP1-4:1". Lineage: Eukaryota; Metazoa; Chordata; Mammalia; Primates; Hominidae. The record is from RNAcentral.
GGUCCAGAAUUCUUGAGGAAGGGGAAUUUCAUUAGACAUACUAAGCCAAAAGAAGAUGUCACACUGAAGAAGGUGGCUGUGUGAAUUCUGACCCAGUCGAAAACAUGCAAGCAAAGUCCGACUGUAUUACAUGCUUCACCCCAGGGAUGGAGGGUGUCCUGCCAAGAGGCUCCGGUCAGAAAAUGGAAGUGAUGCCGACAUGGUGGAUAAGAACAAGUGCUGCACACUCUGCAACAUGUCAUUCACUUCAGCGGUGGUGGCCGAUUCCCAUUAUCAAGGCAAAAUCCACGCCAAGAGGUUAAAACUCUUGCUAGGAGAGAAGACCCCAUUAAAGACCACAGGUACGUGCAGGAACAGUGAUCGUGGGGAGACCCUGAAAACCAAGUGCUGGCCUGUCUUGCAGAUCAUGCUCCUCCUUCAGACGCAGUUGCCAGAACCAGAGCCUAAUGGUAGACGUCAUUCAAAGCCUAAAGGGAUGAGUGGCUGACCUCAGCAGACCUGGCUGUCCUAAGACCCCUAAAUACCAUUUCAGGUGCUCAUUCUAUCACCCUAGUUCCUUUCGAUGAAGUAAUGCAGCAGCUUGCAUCUGC